UAAAGCCUAUGAAGAGUUGCAGAAUUAUUGCUUACAUCGUCUGAAAUUAAACGUGAUAAAAAUCUGCAAGCUUUCUGAGGCAAUA
This 85-nucleotide small nucleolar RNA is filed under the name Ananas comosus (pineapple). Its description in RNAcentral is "Small nucleolar RNA SNORD34". It matches the Rfam family "Small nucleolar RNA SNORD34". From Rfam's summary of the family: snoRNA U34 is found in intron 5 of the ribosomal protein L13a gene in humans. Lineage: Eukaryota; Viridiplantae; Streptophyta; Magnoliopsida; Poales; Bromeliaceae. The record is from Rfam by way of RNAcentral.